CCCCUAGAUGUUCUGGGCCGCACGCGCGCUACACUGAACAGUUCAACAAGUCUUAACCUUGGCCGAUAGGUCUGGGUAAUCUUUGAACGCUGUUCGUGAUUGGGAUAGACCUUUGCAAUUAUGGGUCUUCAACGAGGAAUUCCUAGUAAACGCAAGUCAUCAGCUUGCAUUGAUUACGUCCCUGCCCUUUGUACACACCGCCCGUCGCACCUACCGAUUGAAUGUUCCGGUGAAAUCUCGGGACGGCGGCUUGGUCGCUUGCGUCCGACUGCUGAAACUUGAUUAAACCAUAUCAUUUAGAGGAAGGUGAAGUCGUAACA
RNAcentral lists this ribosomal RNA (320 nucleotides) under uncultured eukaryote. Its description in RNAcentral is "partial 18S ribosomal RNA". It matches the Rfam family "Eukaryotic small subunit ribosomal RNA", at positions 1470 to 1796 of the family's 1831-position model. The record is from RNAcentral.